AGUUUAAUGAUGAUUGUCUUUUUUGAUUGCUUCUUAAAGCAAUGUGAAAAACACAUUUCACCGGCUCUGAAAGCU
This is a small nucleolar RNA of Suncus etruscus (white-toothed pygmy shrew), 75 nucleotides long. RefSeq annotates it as small nucleolar RNA SNORD102. NCBI's taxonomy places the organism in Eukaryota, Metazoa, Chordata, Mammalia, Eulipotyphla, Soricidae. The transcript has a single exon. The record is from RefSeq and is a predicted model, not a curated record.